RNAcentral lists this ribosomal RNA (440 nucleotides) under uncultured bacterium. Its description in RNAcentral is "partial 16S ribosomal RNA". It matches the Rfam family "Bacterial small subunit ribosomal RNA", at positions 338 to 795 of the family's 1533-position model. The record is from RNAcentral.
CCUACGGGUGGCAGCAGUGGGGAAUAUUGCACAAUGGGGGAAACCCUGAUGCAGCAAUGCCGCGUGAGUGAAGAAGUAUUUCGGUAUGUAAAGCACUAUCAGCAGGGAAGAGGAUGACGGUACCUGACUAAGAAGCCCCUGCUAACUACGGGCGAGCAGCCGCGGUAAUACGUAGGGGGCAAGCGUUAUGCGGAUUUACUGGGUGUAAAGUGAGCGUAGACGGCUGUACAAAUCUGAAGUGAAAGCCCGUGGCUCAACCGCGGAACUGCUUUGGAAACUGUAAGGCUGGAGUACUGGAGAGGCGGGCAGAAGUCCUAGUGUAGCGGUGAAAUGCGUAGAGAUUAGGAGGAAUACCAGUGGCGAAGGCGGCCUGCUGGACAGAGACUGACGUUGAGGCGCGAAAGCGUGGGGAGCAAACAGGAUUAGAUACCCUUGUAGUC